RNAcentral lists this long non-coding RNA (444 nucleotides) under Callithrix jacchus (white-tufted-ear marmoset). Its description in RNAcentral is "lncRNA (ENSCJAG00000059390.2)". Lineage: Eukaryota; Metazoa; Chordata; Mammalia; Primates; Cebidae. The record is from RNAcentral.
AUGCCUUGUCUCAACUCCUCCCAGCCAAUAAUAAGUCCGCUGGCUAACAAAGCUGGAAUUGAAGCCCAGAUCUGUCUGACUUGGAAGACGGAGCUUCUCCUAUCACACUAUGGAGUGGUAUGGUGGUCAUGGGAUGCUACAACUGGAUCAAUUUGCUGAUAAAGGUGCUCAUUCGAGCUGAAGGAUUUAAUAGAGAAAAAGCAGACUAAGAAAUAGAAUAUUUAAACACUUCAAGUCAUUUCCUUGGAAAGGCUUUCUGCAUCUUGUUGGAGGAGCGAGUCAUCUUCCUGUGUGAAAUGUUCAAAGCUCAUUUCCGGUGAGUAAUGAGAGGGGCAUUCAGGUCUGGAUGCAGCCACUGUGCACGUGGUGAAGUCCACGGUACUACAGCUUCCUCUUCAGAAAACAGAGGUGCUGCCUCUUGGGCCCCAUUAUUCUGGGCUCUUC